This is a long non-coding RNA of Pygocentrus nattereri (red-bellied piranha), 716 nucleotides long. RefSeq lists it as uncharacterized. The transcript has 2 exons. The record is from RefSeq and is a predicted model, not a curated record. NCBI's taxonomy places the organism in Eukaryota, Metazoa, Chordata, Actinopteri, Characiformes, Serrasalmidae.
UUUACUGCAGCACAGUGCGCGUAGUGAUCAGACUCAGCCCAGGUGCUACUAAAACAGCAAGUCAUGUAAAGAUGAUAACUUCAACGACUUGUGAUCGGGAACAUGCGAUUAACCUGAACUAAUAAAAACGCCUCGUAACAUUUUAACAGCGUGACGGGAAACUUUUAAACACAACGUUGAAUCAUUAACGACACUCGUGCGUUUGGCAGGGGCUGCCAAAAAGUCUCCACACCGCUGGAUUCAAGUACUCAGACAAGCCAGUGAAGAACACAUGCAGAGCACGAAUUCAUUUUCCCUUAAGCAGCGUUUGAAACCGAACCCCACUCGAUCUGAUCAUAUGCUGCAGUCUUUGAGGUCAUGCUUGGUGGCUGAGCUACCCCACACUAUGACAGCUGUGUAGAAACGCACCAUCAGCUCCUGGGGCAGGUUGAACUUCCUCAGCUGACGCAGGAAUUACAUCCUCUGCUGGGCUUUCUUGAUGAUGGAGCUGAUGUUGCUAUCCCACUUCAGGUCCCUGGUGAUUGUUGUGCCCAGGAACUUGCAGGACUCCACUGGCAUCACAGUACUGUCCAGGAUGGUGAGUGCUGGCAGGGCUGGCGGGCUCCUCUUGAAGUCUUCUGUCAUCUCCACUGUUUUCGCUGUGCUCAGCACCAAUUGUUGAAUUGUUGUUCUUGAGUGUUCAAGCUGUUGGAGAAUAAAAUGGAGUCCCAUGUUCA